Molecule: long non-coding RNA, 418 nt
Organism: Lutra lutra (Eurasian river otter)
Lineage: Eukaryota; Metazoa; Chordata; Mammalia; Carnivora; Mustelidae
Exons: 3
Source: RefSeq, a predicted model, not a curated record
UUUAUCUUGAUGAGGUCCCAAAAGUUCAUUUUUGCUUUUGUUUCCCUUGCCUUAGGAGCUAUGUCUUUAAAGACAUUGCUGUGGUCAAUAUCAAAGAGGUCACCACCUAUGUUCUCCUCUAGGACUUUGAUGGAUUCCAGUUUCACACUGAGUGGGACUUUAUAGAAGAAAUGCUUCGGCUCCCCCUUCAGAGCCCUCCAAUAGCUCCAUCUGUUUCGAGUGAUUCUACUCCUCCUGUUUUUGAGAAGAGUCAACCUGCCUGCAGUUAAUGGGAAUUUACAUUUUACUUUGAAGAAAGAAGCUGCAAGAUAUACUUGUACCAUUGUAGCCAUCAUCAAAACAUAAAAAAAAUGUGAGAGAUGUACCAAAUUUCUUCUCAUCACACUGCUGAAGAACAAGAGGGUACUCAUUUCAUCCA